GGAGUGAUACCAGUUCUGUUAAAACUUCUAUUGAUGGGCUGAACAUUACUCACAGUGCACACGAUGAGAAAUAGUUAAUGAGCACUAGGAUUCCAAAGGUGCAACAACUUGUGAAUGAUCUCUUUGAAGGAAAGGAACCAAACAAGGGUGUUAACCCUGUUGAAGCAGUUGACGUAGCUAAUGGUCAUCUAGUAUGUGGACAAAUGAUCUCUUUGAAGGAAAGGAACCAAACAAGGGUGUUAACCCUGUUGAAGCAGUUGACGUAGCUAAUGGUCAUCUAGUAUGUGGACAUGGAAAUAUAUCCUCCUGCAAUAACAAUGCGCCAACUCCUCAUCAGGAGGCUCGUGCUAUGUCUGCUAUUCUUCUCCGGAAGCAACUCACUCGCGAUGAUUCAUUUCUUUGGCCGCAUCUUUCGCCUCAAACUCAUUCUUCUCUCAAAUCGCUUCUUCUUUCUUCAAUUCAAACCGAAAACUCCAAAUCGAUUUCUAAGAAGCUUUGUGACACAAUCUCUGAACUUGCUUCUGUACAUCGGUGAUUCUCCCACACCGCAUAUCAAAGACCUUCAUGACAUCUUUCUUCAGUGUCUUAC
RNAcentral lists this long non-coding RNA (589 nucleotides) under Lathyrus oleraceus (garden pea). RNAcentral's name for it is "Pisum sativum (pea) long non-coding RNA (PSAT_LNC011024)". The record is from RNAcentral. Lineage: Eukaryota; Viridiplantae; Streptophyta; Magnoliopsida; Fabales; Fabaceae.